RNAcentral lists this ribosomal RNA (392 nucleotides) under Eimeria ovinoidalis. Its description in RNAcentral is "SSU rRNA". It matches the Rfam family "Eukaryotic small subunit ribosomal RNA", at positions 496 to 891 of the family's 1831-position model. Lineage: Eukaryota; Apicomplexa; Conoidasida; Eucoccidiorida; Eimeriidae. The record is from RNAcentral.
UUAUGCUCUGUAAUUGGAAUGAUGGGAAUGUAUAACCCUUCCAGAGUAACAAUUGGAGGGCAAGUCUGGUGCCAGCAGCCGCGGUAAUUCCAGCUCCAAUAGUGUAUAUUAGAGUUGUUGCAGUUAAAAAGCUCGUAGUUGGAUUUCUGCUGUGGUCAUCCGGUACCGCCCGUAUGGGUGCGCACCUGGUUUGGCUCCGGCUUUCUUCCUGUAGCCGUCCGCGCUUAAUUGCGCGUAUUGUGUUACGGAACUUUUACUUUGAGAAAAAUAGAGUGUUUCAAGCAGGCUUGUCGCCCUGAAUACUUCAGCAUGGAAUAAUAGGAUAGGACCUUGGUUCUAUUUUGUUGGUUUCUAGGACCAAGGUAAUGAUUAAUAGGGACAGUGGGGGGCAU